RNAcentral lists this non-coding RNA (170 nucleotides) under Ruminococcus sp. Its description in RNAcentral is "FMN sequence". It matches the Rfam family "FMN riboswitch aptamer (RFN element)". Rfam says of the family: The RFN element is a highly conserved domain that is found frequently in the 5'-untranslated regions of prokaryotic mRNAs that encode for flavin mononucleotide (FMN) biosynthesis and transport proteins. This element is a metabolite-dependent riboswitch that directly binds FMN in the absence of proteins. RNAcentral also lists the same sequence under 1 other name. Lineage: Bacteria; Bacillati; Bacillota; Clostridia; Eubacteriales; Oscillospiraceae. The record is from RNAcentral.
AAUAUGUUUCAAGGGGUGGUGAAAUUCCACACCGGCGGUAAAAGUCCGCAAACUCGAAGCAGUGCCGAACACGGCGCUGUGACAGAGCCGAAUCGGUGAAAUUCCGAUACCGACGGUUGGGUCUGAUCUUUUCGGUCGGAUCCAGAUAGUCCGGAUGGAAGAAACGACAG